CAUUAACUGAAAAUUUGGGGAGGAGGCUUUGCUGCUGGCCCUUUUUAGGGGCAUCUGUGCACACUCCUUCCCUUAGUUCCUCUUACACACCUGUGCAACCUCCUGUGGGCUUGGGGAAACCUGAGCCUGCAUUUUUGUUCCACAUACACAUAACUGUAUAUAUUUGCCAGUGAAUGCUUCUUGGCUCUUUGAGCCAUAAAAAUAAUCAUUACAACUUUCAACAACGGAUCUCUUGGCUCACGCAUCGAUGAAGAACGCAGCGAAAUGCGAUAAGUAAUGUGAAUUGCAGAAUUCAGUGAAUCAUCGAAUCUUUGAACGCACCUUGCGCUCCCUGGUAUUCCGGGGAGCAUGCCUGUUUGAGUGUCAUGAAAUUCUCAACCUUAUGUCUUCCUUUUGAAAGGCUUGGGGAUUGGAAUGUGGGAGUGUGCCAUGUUUCCUUCCGAGGGAACAGAGGCUCUCCUGAAAUGCAUAAGUGAAUCCAGCUUUCUGCCCUGGGGUUGUUGAAGCUUUGGUUUGAUAGUCCUCUGUUUGUCUAUGCCCCAUUGCUACAACAAAGAGUGCCCCAGAAACCUUGGAAUGUCUGGGUUGCGCUGCAGAUUUGCACCUCCUUUUUGACACUUUGACCUCAAAUCAGGUAGGACUACCC
RNAcentral lists this ribosomal RNA (646 nucleotides) under uncultured Basidiomycota. RNAcentral's name for it is "eukaryotic LSU rRNA". The stretch from base 213 to 366 matches the Rfam family "5.8S ribosomal RNA". The record is from RNAcentral. Lineage: Eukaryota; Fungi; Basidiomycota.